UCAAUUUUGACCAAAUUAGUUGAUUGGAUGAAAUUGCAACAUAUUAUUCAAUUUGGCCUAAUUGUCAAAAUUAAAAGCACUAGAUUAAAUUGCAAUUUGGCAAAAAGGUUUGGAUUUUUUAGUUAUUAAUUUAGGCCAAGGCAGAAUUAUAAUAAAGUCUUGCAUGAUCAAAGAUAAUAAAGCUUGUGCAAUACUGAUCAUAAGCCCAUGCAUGAUCAGUGUGUACGAAUAGAACUAGGGGUGAGCAGUUCUCGGUUUAAACCGAAAAACCGAACUGAGUCAAUUCAGUUUAA
This 293-nucleotide unclassified non-coding RNA is filed under the name Hevea brasiliensis (rubber tree). The record is from RNAcentral. Lineage: Eukaryota; Viridiplantae; Streptophyta; Magnoliopsida; Malpighiales; Euphorbiaceae.